Molecule: ribosomal RNA, 370 nt
Filed under: Erythrolamprus festae
Lineage: Eukaryota; Metazoa; Chordata; Lepidosauria; Squamata; Dipsadidae
Description: partial large subunit ribosomal RNA
Rfam family: Bacterial large subunit ribosomal RNA
Source: RNAcentral
CAUAAUCAUUUGUCCACUAAUUAUGGACUAGCAUGAAAGGCAAAAUGAGGGUUUAACUGUCUCUUAUAGUAAGUCAAUUAAACUGAUCUACCAGUAAAAAAGCUGGAAUGAACACACAAGACCAGAAGACCCUGUGAAGCUUAAACUAAACUAUUAAACACCAUAAUAACUACUUUCGGUUGGGGCGACCUUGGAAAAAAAAGAACUUCCAAACCAGUGACAAUCAAUCACCCCAGGCCAACAAGCCACAUAUGACCCAGCACACCUGAUAAUUGAACCAAGUUACUCCAGGGAUAACAGCGCCAUCUUCUUCAAGAGUCCAUAUCAAAAAGAAGGUUUACGACCUCGAUGUUGGAUCAGGACAUCCUAA